UUCUUUAAUGAAUCCUUCCGUCAGGUUCACAUA
RNAcentral lists this ribosomal RNA (33 nucleotides) under uncultured fungus. Its description in RNAcentral is "partial 5.8S ribosomal RNA". The record is from RNAcentral. Lineage: Eukaryota; Fungi.